GACGAAGGGGGCUAGCGUUGUUCGGAAUUACUGGGCGUAAAGCGCGUGUAGGCGGUUGUCCAAGUUGGAUGUGAAAGCCUUGAGCUCAACUCAAGAAAUGCAUUCAGGACUGGAUGACUAGAGGACCGGAGAGGAUAGUGGAAUUCCCAGUGUAGUGGUGAAAUACGUAGAGAUUGGGAAGAACACCAGUGGCGAAGGCGGCUAUCUGGACGGUUUCUGACGCUAAGACGCGAAAGCGUGGGAGCA
RNAcentral lists this ribosomal RNA (246 nucleotides) under uncultured bacterium. RNAcentral's name for it is "partial 16S ribosomal RNA". It matches the Rfam family "Bacterial small subunit ribosomal RNA", at positions 524 to 770 of the family's 1533-position model. The record is from RNAcentral.